GACGAACCGUGCGAACGUUAUUCGGAAUCACUGGGCUUAAAGCGCGUGUAGGCGGAUGGGGACGUCGGUUGCUGAAAUACCCCGGCUCAACCGGGGAACGGGCGCCGAAACGCCCCGUCUCGAGGGACGUAGGGGGACCUGGAACUUCCGGUGGAGCGGUGAAAUGCGUUGAGAUCGGAAGGAACGCCCGUGGCGAAAGCGAGGUCCUGGACGUCUACUGACGCUGAGACGCGAAAGCUAGGGGAGCGAACGGG
This 254-nucleotide ribosomal RNA is filed under the name uncultured bacterium. RNAcentral's name for it is "partial 16S ribosomal RNA". It matches the Rfam family "Bacterial small subunit ribosomal RNA", at positions 524 to 776 of the family's 1533-position model. The record is from RNAcentral.